UGUACAAGAAUACAUCUAGAAGCCUACUCCUGAGAGGUCAAGAGAAACUUAGACCAAUUGCUUCUGUGGUUUGCUUUUCUGCUUAUUUCAGAGUUCAACAGCUGACUUCUUCCAAGCGGCAUCAAAACAGGUCUCAAGGAAAUGAACAGCUGGCAAGUAGACAACAAAGGGAGGAAGAGGAGUGAAGGACACCACAAGAAAACUCGCAGAAUCAACUAACCUGGGAUCACAGAAGCUUACAGAGACUAAACCAACAACCAGGGAGCCUGCAUGGGACUGAUGAAAGAGAAGUACAAUGAACAAGCCUGAUUCUUUGUAUCUAGCAUCAAGCCCAAAGAAAGAUCCAGAAAUAAAAAGAGAACCUAUGGAUCCUUAAAAAAAUCUAGAAAAUAAAACUGUCAAAAAAGUGAGGAAGAGUUGCAUGGGAUCUUCAGAGAGAAAUCUACACAGUUACUUAAAG
Molecule: long non-coding RNA, 460 nt
Organism: Peromyscus eremicus (cactus mouse)
Lineage: Eukaryota; Metazoa; Chordata; Mammalia; Rodentia; Cricetidae
Exons: 4
Source: RefSeq, a predicted model, not a curated record